Long non-coding RNA from Cyprinus carpio carpio, 1052 nucleotides. NCBI's taxonomy places the organism in Eukaryota, Metazoa, Chordata, Actinopteri, Cypriniformes, Cyprinidae. The record is from Ensembl.
CAGGUAGAUCCAAAUGCAGUGUUUAUUAAAGGGUAAUCCAAAAUCAUAAACAGUCCAGGCAGGGGUCAAAACCAAACAUAAACAGUCCAAAACACGAAACACGAACAUCCACUAGGGAACCAGGAAAAAGCAGGGUGACAUGCAACAAGGACUCCGUAACAAUGACAGAAACAACCAGGGUAUUUAUAGACAGGUGCAAACAAGGUAAGUGGUGACAGCUGAACACAAUGAACAGUGAUGAACAGAUAAGGCUAGUGGGAAAUGUAGUUCAGAAGGGGGUGACAAUCAGGGGAAGUGAGACCUCUAGUGGCCACCCAGGGAGACACAGAACAGACACUGUGACAUUAGCCCCCCCUCUAAGGAGCAGCUUCCAGAUGCUCCCCAGAUCAAAAAAAAAACAAAUCAAAAAGACCAGGAGGGAGGUGGACUGGUGGAGGUAGAACAGGGGGAGGGAUGGCGGGCCAGGCCCGUGUAGGAGAACAGGGACCGGCCGUAAUGGCUCCACCGGCAGCCAAGGUGGAUCAGACAGUUCAGGGGGCCAGGGUUGACCCAAAAGUUCAGGGGACCACGAGGGACCAGACAGUUCAGGUGGCCAGGGUGGACCCGAAAGUUCAGGGGACCACGAGGGACCAGGCAGUUCAGGUGGCCACGGUGGAUCAGUCCAUUCUCGUUGUGCAGACGGCCAGGGAGGAAUUCGCCAUUUGAGUGGCCCGAACGGAACCUGCCAAUCGGGGAGCCAGUAAGGAGCAGGCUGUGGCGAUGGCCAGGUCACGGCAUUGGGAACGGCAUCGGGAACGGCCUCAGACAAGGGCACCGCCUCGGGAACGGCCUUGGACACGGGUAUCGCCUCCGGAACCCUCUCGGGCCCCGCAUCGGCCUCCGGAACAGCAUCGGGCACCGCCUCGGGAAUGGCCUCAGGAAUGGCAUCGGACAAGGACGCCGCCUCGGGAACGACCUCGGGCACGACCUUGGGCUCGGCAUCGGGCACCGCCUCGGGAACGGCCUCGGCAUCGGGCACCGCCUCGGGAACGGCCUCGGGAACGGCCUUGGAC